RNAcentral lists this long non-coding RNA (343 nucleotides) under Daucus carota (carrot). Its description in RNAcentral is "long non-coding RNA (DCAR_LNC007690)". The record is from RNAcentral. Lineage: Eukaryota; Viridiplantae; Streptophyta; Magnoliopsida; Apiales; Apiaceae.
CCCCAAAUAAAUGAAAAGUUUUGAAACCCUAGUUCCAAUGAAGCCCCCAAUUCAAUCGAAGACCUAAGAAAAAUAAAAAUACAAAAUGAAAAACAUUAGAGUGAAAAACGAAAUAAAGAAGUUAGUAAAUAAAUUUAAAGGAAAUAUAAACCGGAAGCUCUAGUUCUGUGGAAUGAAGAAGCUCACAAUCGAAGUCCCAAUUGACGACCUGAAACAAAACUUUAAGCGAUUGAGAUGUGAGUUUGAGGGUAGAGGAUCCUUGAUUUACCUAAUCGCCGGUGAGUUUGAGCAGAGAGGUGAGGUUUAACGGAGAGAGGUGAAGUUGAGUGAUAGAGGUGAGUGU